RNAcentral lists this ribosomal RNA (429 nucleotides) under Pseudomonadota bacterium. RNAcentral's name for it is "Proteobacteria bacterium partial 16S ribosomal RNA". It matches the Rfam family "Bacterial small subunit ribosomal RNA", at positions 355 to 776 of the family's 1533-position model. Lineage: Bacteria; Pseudomonadati; Pseudomonadota. The record is from RNAcentral.
UGGGGAAUAUUGGACAAUGGGCGAAAGCCUGAUCCAGCCAUGCCGCGUGUGUGAAGAAGGUCUUCGGAUUGUAAAGCACUUUAAGUUGGGAGGAAGGGCAGUAAGCGAAUACCUUGCUGUUUUGACGUUACCGACAGAAUAAGCACCGGCUAACUCUGUGCCAGCAGCCGCGGUAAUACAGAGGGUGCAAGCGUUAAUCGGCAUUACUGGGCGUAAAGCGCGCGUAGGUGGUUCGUUAAGUUGAAUGUGAAAGCCCCGGGCUCAACCUGGGAACUGCAUCCAAAACUGGCGAGCUAGAGUAGGGCAGAGGGUGGUGGAAUUUCCUGUGUAGCGGUGAAAUGCGUAGAUAUAGGAAGGAACACCAGUGGCGAAGGCGACCACCUGGGCUCAUACUGACACUGAGGUGCGAAAGCGUGGGGAGCAAACAGG